This 215-nucleotide ribosomal RNA is filed under the name Providencia rettgeri. RNAcentral describes it as "partial 23S ribosomal RNA". It matches the Rfam family "Bacterial large subunit ribosomal RNA", at positions 1 to 216 of the family's 2925-position model. Lineage: Bacteria; Pseudomonadati; Pseudomonadota; Gammaproteobacteria; Enterobacterales; Morganellaceae. The record is from RNAcentral.
GGUUAAGCGACUAAGCGUACACGGUGGAUGCCUAGGCAAUCAGAGGCGAUGAAGGACGUGCUAAUCUGCGAUAAGCGUCGGUAAGGUGAUAUGAACCGUUACAACCGACGAUUUCCGAAUGGGGAAACCCAGUGCAAUUCGUUGCACUAUCGUUUGAUGAAUACAUAGUCAAACGAAGCGAACCGGGGGAACUGAAACAUCUCAGUACCCCGAGG